AGUGAACGCUGGCGGUAGGCCUAACACAGGCAAGUCGAACGGCAGCACAGGAAGAGCGGGCGCGGACGGGGGGCGAGGGGCGGACGGGGGAGGAAGACAGCGGAAGCGACGGGGGCGGGGGGGAGAACGGAGGGAAACGUACGCUAAUACCGCAAACGACCUACGGGUGAAAGCAGGGGAUCUUCGGACCUUGCGCGAUUGAAUGAGCCGAUGUCGGAUUAGCUAGUUGGCGGGGUAAAGGCCCACCAAGGCGACGAUCCGUAGCUGGUCUGAGAGGAUGGUCCGCCGCCCUGGACAUGCGCCCCGGUCCCGCCUCCUACGGGCGGCCGCAGUGGGGAAUAUUGGACAAUGGGCGCAAGCCUGAUCCAGCCAUACCGCGUGGGUGAAGAAGGCCUUCGGGUUGUCACGCCCUUUUGUUGGGAACGAAAAGCAGCAGGUUAAUACCCCGCUGUUCUGACGGUACCCAAAGAAUAAGCACCGGCGAACUUCGU
RNAcentral lists this ribosomal RNA (491 nucleotides) under uncultured bacterium. RNAcentral describes it as "partial 16S ribosomal RNA". It matches the Rfam family "Bacterial small subunit ribosomal RNA", at positions 30 to 506 of the family's 1533-position model. The record is from RNAcentral.